GAUGAACGCUGGCGGCGUGCCUAAUACAUGCAAGUCGAGCGAACGGACGAGAAGCUUGCUUCUCUGAUGUUAGCGGCGGACGGGUGAGUAACACGUGGAUAACCUACCUAUAAGACUGGGAUAACUUCGGGAAACCGGAGCUAAUACCGGAUAAUAUUUUGAACCGCAUGGUUCAAAAGUGAAAGACGGUCUUGCUGUCACUUAUAGAUGGAUCCGCGCUGCAUUAGCUAGUUGGUAAGGUAACGGCUUACCAAGGCAACGAUGCAUAGCCGACCUGAGAGGGUGAUCGGCCACACUGGAACUGAGACACGGUCCAGACUCCUACGGGAGGCAGAAGUAGGGAAGCUUCCGCAAUGGGCGAAGGCCUGACGGAGCAACGCCGCGUGAGUGAUGAAGGUCUUCGGAUCGUAAAACUCUGUUAUUAGGGAAGACCAUAUGUGUAAGUAACUGUGCACAUCUUGACGGUACCUAAUCAGAAAGCCACGGCUAACUACGUG
RNAcentral lists this ribosomal RNA (497 nucleotides) under uncultured bacterium. RNAcentral's name for it is "partial 16S ribosomal RNA". It matches the Rfam family "Bacterial small subunit ribosomal RNA", at positions 28 to 507 of the family's 1533-position model. The record is from RNAcentral.